AUUAGCGAGUUCUUAACUUGUUCUUAAGUUGGUAGUAAGCGCGUUCACACGCUGCAAAAGAGACUCGAAGGCACGCGGCCUCACCUGCUCACCCUUUCUGCUUACUGUCAAGUUGAGGCUGAAUCCUGUUUCCCAUGAGCCGUCUCGUCGUCGCUGCAAGGCUUCCCGGUAAAAUGGAAACAAGGUAAUUAGAGAGGACGCCACCCCGGCCUGACGAGGUCUGCCGUCGGCCUGGUUUUUUGUGCUCGUAUUGACCUCCCUUUCCUACGACCCCCCUCCCUCCGGCAGCACCUUGAGCCCGGAUCGUCUGCAGGGAUCAGACGGCCCUCCGGACGUCGCAGUGACGGCAAGUGCAAAGACUUCCGCGCAUCCACGAUUCCAGCUGUGCUCACCAGAUGCAGGCCGAAGUUGAGCACGCGCUGUAAAAGGCGCUGCAUGUGCGCCCGUAGAGCGGCGAGACGGAAUACCAAAGUCAAUAGUCGUCUCUUUGUCGUGUUUGUGUGUAGAAUGCUGCAUUAGUUUUCACAGUAAGCGGCCACCGGGCCAUGCGAGUACCAGGAACUGAACACUGAAUAAUACAAUAGCACCGUAUUGAUUUUUAGAGCACUGCACACUCAAGCGCAGAUUGCGCCACUGCCAAUUAAAGGACGUCAUGGUUUUAUUUGCUCCAGGAUGGCGUGUUUGAAAGGGCUUUAGAGUAUUUGCAGGGCG
Molecule: long non-coding RNA, 711 nt
Organism: Gasterosteus aculeatus aculeatus (three-spined stickleback)
Lineage: Eukaryota; Metazoa; Chordata; Actinopteri; Perciformes; Gasterosteidae
Source: Ensembl